AAUCGAAGCAGUGAACUUAAGCCCCAGUAAACGGCGGCCGUAACUAUAACGGUCCUAAGGUAGCGAAAUUCCUUGUCGGGUAAGUUCCGACCCGCACGAAAGGCGUAACGAUUUGGGCACUGUCUCAACAACAGACUCGGUGAAAUUGUAAUUCCGGUGAAGAUGCCGGAUACCUGCGACAGGACGGAAAGACCCCAUGGAGCUUUACUGUAGCUUGACAUUGGGUCUUGGUACUACAUGUACAGGAUAGGUGGGAGGCUUUGAAACCAGGACGCCAGUUUUGGCGGAGCCAUCCUUGGGAUACCACCCUUGUAGUACUGGGACUCUAACCAUAGGCCAUGAAUCUGGUCUUGGGACACUGUCAGGUGGGCAGUUUGACUGGGGCGGUCGCCUCCCAAAAGGUAACGGAGGCGCUCAAAGGUUCUCUCAGUACGGUCGGAAAUCGUACGUAGAGUGUAAAGGCAAAAGAGAGCUUGAUUGCAAGACAUACAGGUCGAGCAAGGAUGAAAAUCGGACUUAGUGAUCCGGUGGUUCUGCGUGGAAGGGCCAUCGCUCAACGGAUAAAAGCUACCCUGGGGAUAACAGGCUUAUCUCCCCCAAGAGUCCACAUCGACGGGGAGGUUUGGCACCUCGAUGUCGGCUCAUCACAUCCUGGGGCUGUAGUAGGUCCCAAGGGUUGGGCUGUUCGCCCAUUAAAGUGGUACGCGAGCUGGGUUCAGAACGUCGUGAGACAGUUCGGUCCCUAUCCGUCGCAGGCGUAGGAAAUUUGAGAAGACCUGUCCUUAGUACGAGAGGACCGGGAUGGACGUACCUCUGGUGUACCAGUUGUCCUGCCAAGGGCAUGGCUGGGUAGCUAUGUACGGAAUGGAUAAGCGCUGAAAGCAUCUAAGCGCGAAGCCAACUUCAAGAUAAGAUUUCCCACCG
Molecule: ribosomal RNA, 924 nt
Filed under: Clostridioides difficile
Lineage: Bacteria; Bacillati; Bacillota; Clostridia; Peptostreptococcales; Peptostreptococcaceae
Description: bacterial LSU rRNA
Rfam family: Bacterial large subunit ribosomal RNA
Source: RNAcentral